CUUUAAAACAAUUAGAAAGAUGCUUGAAAACAGAAGCUUCUACAAUGUCUAAAAUGCAGGCUGUGCCCAGACUUGAGUAGAGAGGGGAGGGCUUAGUUGUUAAGCUAUGAAUGCACUUGUUCGAUGCUUUGCUUUUUCUUAUUUUUAUUUAUCUUGUUUUUUUUAAGAAGCUCAACAAUAAUGAGGAAACCACUGAUAAUUUUUUAAAAAAAAAUGAAUUUUCUGUUUAUUAAAUGUAGUAUUUGUUUAUUUCAGCCUUUUUGUUGGAAUAACUACGUCAAUAUUUAGCUACAAUGGGAGUCUGCUUUUUAAGAACCAUCAAGAACAUAAGAUUUCUCAUAACACCACUUCAUCAUCAUUUCGCUAUUGUUAUUUAUAAUUGGGGGGGGGGGGGGUGGAUUCAACUUGAAAAACAUUUUUACCCUUAAAUGCGUUAUACAAAAAUACAAAACCACUUUAUUGAAAUUAAUGUGCUGGUAUAAUUAAGGUGCUUUUUAAAGGUAUCAGAAAGUGAAAACAUGGCGCCAGAUAACGAGUAGGAGUUCCAGCCCACAAGCUGGAAUGUGGAUGAUCACCCCGGGUCCCCACGUGCUGAAGGCUACCGGUGGUUGGUGGUGGUGGUCCCGUUGCUCUCUCUCCCAUCUUGUGUGUCCUUUGGGGAAGGGGGAGGGGAGAAGGGUGAAAGAAUUACUUCCAGGGCACAUCAACUCGUUUCCUCAUCACCCUAACUGCCUCUCCGGCACCACUUCCCAGCCCCUCCACAGGCUGCCAACGGUCCCACCGCCGAGCCCGCAGGGUGAACGUGUUUGUGCACAGCACAGAGUGAGUGAAAUGAGAAGGGGUGUCUUCAAUAAUGCGGCAUUUAAGUUCUUAUGUUCUGUUUUCAUACAAAAAAUAAAAUACUGUUUUUAAAGAUCAAUACAUAUAUUUGUGUAAUUUUUGAAUUGCAUAAAUGAUUCAACUUAUUCCGAAGCCUUUGCAUCAUGUUGAAGUGCAAAAUGCUUUUAUUAAACAGAAACACAUGAUUCAAAAUCUUGCAUUUAGGUGCUGACUGGCCAGUGAACAAUUAAAAUAAAAAAUACAUCACCAUGCAGAAUGCACUUAUCCUGUUAUUCGGAUUUUCAUGGGCAAUUAGUCUAAAUUGAAAAAUUUCCGACAGAACAUGAAAGCAUCAAAAGCCUUUCGGCUUGUUCAAUAAAGGGGAGCGGGGCAGAAAGUGUUUGUUGUUCGGGGCUGCUGUGCUGCACAACUACAAUAGACGUACCUACUACAACGGUGUGCUGGAAAGAGCUUGCGGAAAUGAUGAUGACGAUGAUGAUGCUUUUUGUUUCCCGAACCACUUUUUUUCCGUUUUUUAAAGAAGAAGCUGCUUAUAAUAAGCCUAUAUUCUUCUUCUGUUAGGAUCCUAUAAAGCAAACAGAAACUGGACAAGAAUAGAUGAUAGAGAAACAGAAGGUCUGAAGAUGGAUGAGCCCUGUAGACCAUGCAGGAAAAGCCCUCACAUGCACAGCAGCAGCCACCACUCCCCUGCAUGUUUCUGGCUACCACACACCUAAUCAGUCCUGAUUAGAUGCACUGUGAGGGACGAGGAAGCCAGAAGUUUCCUUUGAGAAGUUCUGAUGACAGGACAGAAGAAAGCAAUGGGCUCUCUUAAAUAAAGCCUUCAUCAGGCUCUGGGAAGAAACAUGUGGCUCUGUUUAUGGCAGGGUAUACCAGUGUUCUGCUCUCCAACUGAUCUUGCAGUGUCAUCUUGAUUUACCUCCUUCCUUUAGCACGCUUUACUUCACAGCUAUUACUUUAACACCGUCAGCUUCAUAUAGACGCACGCUCAAGCUCCUCUGUAUGUACACAUGCACCUCUAAACUUAACGUAUUGUGGCAAGCACUCACACACCCAUCUACACAAACCAAAGAGAUCCAAAAUCAGCAUCAGCAAGCACAAUAGCAAUUAGUAAGGGGGACAAUUUAUUCACAUCUGGAGUGGAUUUGCUUGCCACCAGAAUACCCAGCAAUCUCUUCUUUCAGGGUCUGGCACAGUGGGAAAUGACUAUGUGUGUUUUUAUGUGUUUUGUUUAAAACAGAUGGGCGGUUUACAUUAGUGGGGAUGGGUGAUAAACAGCUUAGGAGGGAUGGUGGGGAACCACCAGGACAUCAUUGUCCCGUCCAGCUACACAGAAAUGGCUGAGCAUUCGACUGAAAGCUAGACAGAGACGAUACAUCUGCAUGAUGUAACCACUGAGCGUUUGGUGUGUGAUAAUUUCUGGGCAGAAGUUCUCUGCGAUGAGGUGGGGUGUCAAGUCACAGAGAGCAAACAUCAGAGUUCUGCAGGAGGUUGAUAAGGUAGAUGGGUGGAGCUGCAGAGCUGUCCAGUUACACAGUCAUCAGUUACAUCAUGAAGGCACUCUGCCCCAAAAAUUAUUUUAAAAAAGAGUUUUAAAUUAAUAGUUAAUGAAAAUACUCAGUCAUGAAAUGAUUUAUUUUUUUUGCUUUAUAUGCAAAAACAGGACAAAAACAACACUUAUUGAACAGAAUAAGUGUAUCUGAUAAUGUGCUUGAGGGAGUGUUUGUAGGUGUGCACAGUUUUAGUAAGCCCAGAGGUAAAAAUUUGUGAAAGAGAAUGAAAAAAUAAGAAAGGCAAGAUGAAUAACUAUAUAAAUAAAGCCAAUAAUAAUGAAAUAAGAAGAAAUGAAUAGUAGAAAGAUACUGUCAAGUUCUGUCUGUCUUCCAAGUCACUGCACUUAUAAAUAAAAGUCUGUUUCACAUAGUAACAUGUUGAAAUAAGCACUGUAAGAAACUCUGAGGGAAAGUGUUUAUAUUUACUACACUGUUAAAAAUGAAGUAAUGUAAAUAAUGUUAUAUUUAUGUAAUAAUUAUUGUAUGAAUUAAAUAUUGUCACUUAUGGCGUACCCUGUACAUUUGUCAGUAUUCUUGGCAAUACUGAGAAUCAAGUAGUUUUGGUGCAUAACUUAAUCAAACAGGAAGUGAAAGGAACAUACUGCAUAUCCAGGUUCAAAGGCUUGCAAGUCAGAGCACCUGCCUACACAUUUGCUGUUUAAAAGCACAGUAAUGUAAGUAUCAGUUAUAAGUUUACAAAACCGGUACAAAAAACAUUCUGAACCAUUUAAAAGGUUUUAGAAUCACUUGUAGCUUUAUCCAGAUGUUCAGAUGGCUUAGCUUAAUUAGUUUAAUUAUCUACUUACCUUUCAUUAAUGUCCGUUAUUGUGGGAACAACCAAAGUCUUAUGUUACAGUCUUCAUGUAUGCCACUCAGACACACUAGGGC
Molecule: long non-coding RNA, 3281 nt
Organism: Haplochromis burtoni (Burton's mouthbrooder)
Lineage: Eukaryota; Metazoa; Chordata; Actinopteri; Cichliformes; Cichlidae
Exons: 3
Source: RefSeq, a predicted model, not a curated record